CGUGUUCAAUUCAUGUAGACAUAAGCGCUUUCUUUUUACAUCUGUAUAUAUGACUCUAUCAGCUUUCUCCAUUUCAAUUUUCAAUGGCUUUUACUUUUUUUAUAAAGAAAAAGAAAACAAUUAUCCUAUCAAGAAAUUCAAUAUGUUCACCCAAUUAAGAAUCUGAAAAGUCAAGCCGACCCACCAUCCACUAUCAUUAAACUCAGCUUUAAUGCCAUUUAAUGCCUCAAUAAUCUUAGGUUUCAUUAUUUAAGAUUGAGUAGUCAUAAACAAUCGGUGUGCCUCAAUACACCCUAAUUAUAUCAUUCUAACGCCCUUUAAUAUGUAUAGCCUUUCGAUUUCAUUUGUUUCCAUCUAGUCUAGGUAUAAGAAUCUCAUCUUUGUAAAUAAAAGUGGAAAUCAUUUACAGAUUUGAGCCAAAUAAUAAUCGUGUCUCUUUUCUUUUUUGGCGAAGAUUGACCAAAUGUAUGUUUUAGGUAUUUAUGGAAUGAAAAGCCUCAAUUAGGUGAAAAUGAGUUGAAUUAAAGUUUUGCCUCCUUUGAAAAUUUUAAAUUUAAAUCUGAUCUAAUUAUAUUUUAUAGAUUAUCUCUUAAAAUAUAGUACGAUCUUUUUAAAAGUUUAU
RNAcentral lists this long non-coding RNA (622 nucleotides) under Cicer arietinum (chickpea). Its description in RNAcentral is "long non-coding RNA (CARI_LNC001648)". The record is from RNAcentral. Lineage: Eukaryota; Viridiplantae; Streptophyta; Magnoliopsida; Fabales; Fabaceae.